RNAcentral lists this ribosomal RNA (125 nucleotides) under Transversotrema lacerta. RNAcentral's name for it is "partial 28S ribosomal RNA". Lineage: Eukaryota; Metazoa; Platyhelminthes; Trematoda; Azygiida; Transversotrematidae. The record is from RNAcentral.
GCAUGCAAAUCCUGACCUCGGAUCAGACGUGAAUACCCGCUGAACUUAAGCAUAUCACUAAAUCCAAAAGGGGGGGGAACAUCCCCAUCCCCCAGUCCAAAGAUUCCCAUUCCCAGGACCGUGCG